RNAcentral lists this ribosomal RNA (505 nucleotides) under Escherichia coli. RNAcentral describes it as "partial 23S ribosomal RNA". It matches the Rfam family "Bacterial large subunit ribosomal RNA", at positions 2142 to 2646 of the family's 2925-position model. The record is from RNAcentral. Lineage: Bacteria; Pseudomonadati; Pseudomonadota; Gammaproteobacteria; Enterobacterales; Enterobacteriaceae.
GAUAGGUGGGAGGCUUAGAAGUGUGGACGCCAGUCUGCAUGGAGCCGACCUUGAAAUACCACCCUUUAAUGUUUGAUGUUCUAACGUUGACCCGUAAUCCGGGUUGCGGACAGUGUCUGGUGGGUAGUUUGACUGGGGCGGUCUCCUCCUAAAGAGUAACGGAGGAGCACGAAGGUUGGCUAAUCCUGGUCGGACAUCAGGAGGUUAGUGCAAUGGCAUAAGCCAGCUUGACUGCGAGCGUGACGGCGCGAGCAGGUGCGAAAGCAGGUCAUAGUGAUCCGGUGGUUCUGAAUGGAAGGGCCAUCGCUCAACGGAUAAAAGGUACUCCGGGGAUAACAGGCUGAUACCGCCCAAGAGUUCAUAUCGACGGCGGUGUUUGGCACCUCGAUGUCGGCUCAUCACAUCCUGGGGCUGAAGUAGGUCCCAAGGGUAUGGCUGUUCGCCAUUUAAAGUGGUACGCGAGCUGGGUUUAGAACGUCGUGAGACAGUUCGGUCCCUAUCUGCC